RNAcentral lists this ribosomal RNA (497 nucleotides) under uncultured bacterium. Its description in RNAcentral is "partial 16S ribosomal RNA". It matches the Rfam family "Bacterial small subunit ribosomal RNA", at positions 28 to 507 of the family's 1533-position model. The record is from RNAcentral.
GACGAACGCUGGCGGCGUGCCUAAUACAUGCAAGUUGAGCGAGGAAGAUUGGUGCUUGCACCAAUUUGAAGAGCAGCGAACGGGUGAGUAACGCGUGGGGAAUCUGCCUUUGAGCGGGGGACAACAUUUGGAAACGAAUGCUAAUACCGCAUAACAACUUUAAACAUAAGUUUUAAGUUUGAAAGAUGCAAUUGCAUCACUCAAAGAUGAUCCCGCGUUGUAUUAGCUAGUUGGUGAGGUAAAGGCUCACCAAGGCGAUGAUACAUAGCCGACCUGAGAGGGUGAUCGGCCACAUGGGGACGGGGACGCGGCCCAAACUCCUGCGGGAGGCAGCAGUAGGGAAUCUUCGGCAAGGGACGAAAGUCUGACCGAGCAACGCCGCGAGAGUGAAGAAGGUUUUCGGAUCGUAAAACUCUGUUGGUAGAGAAGAACGUUGGUGAGAGUGGAAAGCUCAUCAAGUGACGGUAACUACCCAGAAAGGGACGGCUAACUACGUG